GUAUUCAGGAACAGGAAACGGUGAGGCUGUCUAGACGCUAAGAUGUCAAACGCUAUGUGGAGCAGGUAGAUUCAUGGGAGGCAAAUAAUGCAGGUCACCACGUCAGAACUGCUCUUACACUGAUACAGCAUGCCUGGAUACAACAGCACUGCACAGCCUUGCCCUUUCCUCCUGUAUUGAUGUUUAUCAGUUCGCCUUAUACGUUUGUUCAGGAACUACAGAGGCAGCAAAUGAAUCUGACUGAAAUACACAACUAGAGGAAGUGAGAACACAAGGAGUGGCAGUGAAGAUACAGGAACCCCCAGGUACGUGGGAGUCGUGCUUACAUGAUUGCUGCAGCGAGGAAAACUGCACAGCUGAGCUCAAAUUCCAUGGCUGCAAAGGAAGCACACGGAGCUGAGAGAGGAUUCCCAAACAUUUGG
RNAcentral lists this long non-coding RNA (422 nucleotides) under Gallus gallus (chicken). RNAcentral describes it as "lncRNA (ENSGALG00010003608.1)". Lineage: Eukaryota; Metazoa; Chordata; Aves; Galliformes; Phasianidae. The record is from RNAcentral.